AAUCAACGCUGGCGGCGUGCCUAACACAUGCAAGUCGAACGCGAAAGUCCCGCAAGGGAUAAGUAGAGUGGCAAACGGGUGAGUAACACGUGGGUGACCUGCCUUCGAGCGGGGGAUAACGUCCCGAAAGGGACGCUAAUACCGCAUAAUAUGCCGCCUUUUAACAGGUGGACAUCAAAGCUGGGGAUCGCAAGACCUAGCACUUGAAGAGGGGCCCGCGUCUGAUUAGCAGUUGGUGGGGUAAUGGCUCACCAAGGCAACGAUCAGUAUCCGGCCUGAGAGGGCGGACGGACACACUGGGACUGAGACACGGCCCAGACUCCUACGGGAGGCAGCAGUGGGGAAUUGUUCGCAAUGGGCGCAAGCCUGACGACGCAACGCCGCGUGGAGGA
RNAcentral lists this ribosomal RNA (392 nucleotides) under uncultured bacterium. RNAcentral describes it as "bacterial SSU rRNA". It matches the Rfam family "Bacterial small subunit ribosomal RNA", at positions 32 to 408 of the family's 1533-position model. The record is from RNAcentral.